GAUGAACGCUAGCGGCAGGCCUAACACAUGCAAGUCGAGGGGCAGCGGGAAUGAAGCUUGCUUCAUUUGCCGGCGACCGGCGCACGGGUGCGUAACGCGUAUGUAACCUACCUUAAACAGGGGCAUAACACUGAGAAAUUGGUACUAAUUCCCCAUAACACUUUGGAAGGCAUCUUCUGAAGUUGAAAGUUCCGGCGGUUUAAGAUGGACAUGCGUUGUAUUAGUUAGUUGGUGAGGUAACGGCUCACCAAGACGACGAUACAUAGGGGGACUGAGAGGUUAACCCCCCACAUUGGUACUGAGACACGGACCAA
RNAcentral lists this ribosomal RNA (314 nucleotides) under uncultured bacterium. RNAcentral's name for it is "bacterial SSU rRNA". It matches the Rfam family "Bacterial small subunit ribosomal RNA", at positions 28 to 334 of the family's 1533-position model. The record is from RNAcentral.